UUUUUGACGCUACUAAUUUGU
RNAcentral lists this non-coding RNA (21 nucleotides) under Caenorhabditis elegans. Lineage: Eukaryota; Metazoa; Nematoda; Chromadorea; Rhabditida; Rhabditidae. The record is from RNAcentral.